RNAcentral lists this long non-coding RNA (392 nucleotides) under Homo sapiens (human). RNAcentral's name for it is "HSALNT0395728". Lineage: Eukaryota; Metazoa; Chordata; Mammalia; Primates; Hominidae. The record is from RNAcentral.
GGGAGGCCGGGAGGGGUCCCUGGGCGGGGAGUUGCUGCGCAUCUGUUGUGUGUGUGCGUCUGUCUGUCUGUUCAGGUCUGUUUCAGACUACGUCUGCCUGUCUGUCCAGGUCUGUUUUAGGCUGUGUCUGUCUGUCUGUCUGGGUCUGUUUCAGGCUGUGUCUGUCUGUCUGUCCGGGUCUGUUUCAGGCUGUGUCUGGGUCUGUUUCAGGCUGUCUGUCUGUCUGUCUGGGUCUGUUUCAGGCUGUGUCUGUCUGUCUGUUUGUCUGGGUCUGUUUCAGGCUGUGUCUGUCUGUCCGGGUCUGUUUCAGGCUGUAUGUGUGUCUGCUCUUUGCUUCUGCUCCUGGCUCUGUGUCUCAAAGCUGUCGAUGGGGUCCAUGGAGCAGGCAGCAG